This 60-nucleotide transfer RNA is filed under the name Bos taurus (domestic cattle). The record is from Rfam by way of RNAcentral. Lineage: Eukaryota; Metazoa; Chordata; Mammalia; Artiodactyla; Bovidae. RNAcentral also lists the same sequence under 3 other names.
UCCCUGGUGGUCCAGUGGUUAAGACUCUGCACUUCCAAUGCAGGGUGCCUGGUCAGGGAA